AGCGAACGCUGGCGGCAGGCUUAACACAUGCAAGUCGAACGCCCCGCAAGGGGAGUGGCAGACGGGUGAGUAACACGUGGGAACGUACCCUUUGGUUCGGAAUAACUUGGGGAAACUCAAGCUAAUACCGGAUAAGCCCUUAUGGGGAAAGGUUUACUGCCGAAGGAUCGGCCCGCGUCGGAUUAGCUAGUUGGUGAGGUAAUGGCUCACCAAGGCGACGAUCAGUAGAUGGUCUGAGAGGAUGGUCAGCCACACUGGGACUGAGACACGGCCCAGACUCCUACGGGAGGCAGCAGUGGGGAAUAUUGGACAAUGGGGGCAACCCUGAUCCAGCCAUGCCGCGUGAGUGAUGAAGGCCUUAGGGUUGUAAAGCUCUUUUACCCGGGACGAUAAUGACUGUACCGGGAGAAUAAGCCCCGGCUAACUUCGUGCCAGCCGCCGCCGUAA
RNAcentral lists this ribosomal RNA (447 nucleotides) under uncultured bacterium. RNAcentral describes it as "partial 16S ribosomal RNA". It matches the Rfam family "Bacterial small subunit ribosomal RNA", at positions 29 to 523 of the family's 1533-position model. The record is from RNAcentral.